GACCAUCUCCUAAGGCUAAAUACUCUCUAGUGACCGAUAGUGAACCAGUACCGUGAGGGAAAGGUGAAAAGCACCCCGGAAGGGGAGUGAAAUAGAACCUGAAACCGUGUGCUUACAAGUAGUCAGAGCCCGUUAAUGGGUGAUGGCGUGCCUUUUGUAGAAUGAACCGGCGAGUUACGAUUUGAUGCAAGGUUAAGCAGUAAAUGUGGAGCCGUAGCGAAAGCGAGUCUGAAUAGGGCGUUUAGUAUUUGGUCGUAGACCCGAAACCAGGUGAUCUACCCUUGGUCAGGUUGAAGUUCAGGUAACACUGAAUGGAGGACCGAACCGACUUACGUUGAAAAGUGAGCGGAUGAACUGAGGGUAGCGGAGAAAUUCCAAUCGAACCUGGAGAUAGCUGGUUCUCUCCGAAAUAGCUUUAGGGCUAGCCUCAAGUGAUGAUUAUUGGAGGUAGAGCACUGUUUGGACGAGGGGCCCCUCUCGGGUUACCGAAUUCAGACAAACUCCGAAUGCCAAUUAAUUUAACUUGGGAGUC
RNAcentral lists this ribosomal RNA (532 nucleotides) under Staphylococcus aureus. RNAcentral's name for it is "partial 23S ribosomal RNA". It matches the Rfam family "Bacterial large subunit ribosomal RNA", at positions 451 to 985 of the family's 2925-position model. The record is from RNAcentral. Lineage: Bacteria; Bacillati; Bacillota; Bacilli; Caryophanales; Staphylococcaceae.